This 849-nucleotide ribosomal RNA is filed under the name Neonectria neomacrospora. RNAcentral describes it as "partial large subunit ribosomal RNA". It matches the Rfam family "Eukaryotic large subunit ribosomal RNA", at positions 38 to 919 of the family's 3401-position model. Lineage: Eukaryota; Fungi; Ascomycota; Sordariomycetes; Hypocreales; Nectriaceae. The record is from RNAcentral.
GCAUAUCAAUAAGCGGAGGAAAAGAAACCAACAGGGAUUGCCCUAGUAACGGCGAGUGAAGCGGCAACAGCUCAAAUUUGAAAUCUGGCCCCCGGGUCCGAGUUGUAAUUUGUAGAGGAUGCUUUUGGUGCGGUACCUUCCGAGUUCCCUGGAACGGGACGCCAUAGAGGGUGAGAGCCCCGUCUGGUUGGACGCCAAUCCUUUGUAAAGCUCCUUCAACGAGUCGAGUAGUUUGGGAAUGCUGCUCUAAAUGGGAGGUAUAUGUCUUCUAAAGCUAAAUAUUGGCCAGAGACCGAUAGCGCACAAGUAGAGUGAUCGAAAGAUGAAAAGCACUUUGAAAAGAGAGUUAAAAAGUACGUGAAAUUGUUGAAAGGGAAGCGCUCAUGACCAGACUUGGGCUCGGUUGAUCAUCCAGGGUUCUCCCUGGUGCACUCUCCCGGCCCAGGCCAGCAUCAGUUCGCCGCGGGGGACAAAGGCGUCGGGAAUGUGGCUCCCUCGGGAGUGUUAUAGCCCGUCGUGCAAUACCCUGUGGUGGACUGAGGUUCGCGCAUUCGCAAGGAUGCUGGCGUAAUGGUCAUCAGCGACCCGUCUUGAAACACGGACCAAGGAGUCGUCUUCGUAUGCGAGUGUUCGGGUGUCAAACCCCUACGCGUAAUGAAAGUGAACGCAGGUGAGAGCUUCGGCGCAUCAUCGACCGAUCCUGAUGUUCUCGGAUGGAUUUGAGUAAGAGCAUACGGGGCCGGACCCGAAAGAAGGUGAACUAUGCCUGUAUAGGGUGAAGCCAGAGGAAACUCUGGUGGAGGCUCGCAGCGGUUCUGACGUGCAAAUCGAUCGUCAAAUAUGGGCAUG